AUAGGGGGCGGUCCUUCCGGCCCCUCACUUCCGGCCCUGGCGCUGCGGCGGACGGUGUGGCAGCGCCGCUCGGCCCGCUCCGCUCCGCUCCCGCCCGCCCCGCCGCCGCCCGCCCCCCUUUCCCUCAUGCAACGCCGCGACGAUCCCUCCGCCCGCUUAGGCCGGGGACCGGGCCCCGGCGGUGCCCGGCAAGGGGCGCCUCCACCACGGCGGCCGCCCCGUGGCGGUGGGGGCCGCGGAGCCGCCGCCGCCGCCGCCACCGGGGCGCAACCUCCGCCGCUUCUGCCACCCAGCGCCACGGCCGCCGCUUCGGCCGCUCAGGCCCCCGCCGCCGCCCCCACUCCGCUGCUGCCCGGGGCCGCUGUCAAGAUGGAGCCCGAGAACAAGUACCUGCCCGAGCUGAUGGCCGAGAAGGACAGCCUCGACCCGUCCUUCACGCACGCCAUGCAGCUCCUCACAGCAGAAAUUGAAAAAAUUCAGAAGGGUGAAACAACAAAGAAGGAUGAGGAAGAGAACUACCUGGAUUUAUUUUCCCACAAGAAUAUGAAACUGAAAGAACGAGUUCUGAUACCUGUCAAACAGUACCCCAAGUUCAACUUUGUUGGAAAGAUUUUGGGACCUCAAGGCAACACCAUCAAGAGACUUCAGGAAGAAACUGGUGCUAAGAUAUCUGUGCUUGGGAAGGGUUCAAUGCGAGAUAAAGCAAAGGAGGAAGAACUGCGUAAAGGGGGAGAUCCUAAAUAUGCUCAUCUAAAUAUGGAUUUGCAUGUCUUCAUUGAAGUUUUUGGACCCCCUUGUGAAGCAUAUGCUCUGAUGGCUCACGCCAUGGAAGAAGUCAAGAAGUUCCUCGUUCCGGAUAUGAUGGAUGAUAUCUGUCAGGAGCAAUUCUUGGAGCUCUCCUAUCUGAAUGGCGUACCAGAGCCAACUCGUGGCCGAGGAGUCCCUGUGCGGGGAAGGGGAGCAGCUCCGCCACCGCCUCCACCUGUUCCAAGGGGGCGUGGUGUUGGUCCUCCCCCUCCUCCUCCUCCUCCUCGGGGGGCCCUUGUGCGAGGAGCCCCGGUUCGGGGUGCCAUUGCUAGGGGAGCUGCUGUAGCCCGUGGAGUACCUCCUCCCCCAGCAGUACGGGGUGCUCCUGCACCCAGAGCGCGUGCAGCCGGAAUUCAGAGAAUACCGCUUCCUCCUCCUCCCGCACCAGAAACCUAUGAGGAAUAUGGCUAUGAUGAUGCAUAUGCAGACCAGAGCUAUGAGGGGUAUGAAGGCUACUACAGCCAGGGCCAAGGGGACACAGAAUACUAUGAUUAUGGACACGGGGAGGCACAGGAAACCUAUGAAGCUUAUGGGCAAGAUGACUGGAACGGAACCAGGCCCUCCCUGAAGGCCCCGCCGGCCAGGCCAGUGAAGGGGGCCUACAGAGAGCACCCAUACGGACGUUAUUAAAAAACAAACAUGAGGGAAAAAUAUCAGUUAUGAGCAAACAGUUGUUACUGAUUCUUGUAUCUCCCGGGAUUCCCGUUGCUUUACCCACACCAGACAAGAGUCAAGAGUACAUCGCUGUGAAUCACUUGGGUGAAGAUGAGCAGGGGCAACAAGAAGUGGGUAAGUUUGUUUAUUUUUGCAACCCGUUGCAAGUUACUAACAUGUUUUGUGUGGGAGGUGGGGGGCGGCACCAUCUGAGCUGCUAAAUUGAAGCCAUUCUUUAUGUACCCACAAAUAAAUUACUCUUGUGAAAGGCCAGUUACAUGACUGACACUCUUGCAGAGGUCAUGGUGUGGAGGAGGCUUCGGUAUGUACCUGCACAGAGCUCUCCCACCGAGAUCCCAUGGAGAAGGAGGUUUAAGUGGAUUUGAGGAGAGAGGGAAACGUAAGGAGAUCUGUCUCUGGGAGCUGAUUCCCAGCUGAGAUGCUGGCCUUCGUGGGAGUGCUCUCGGCAGCAGGGUAGCGUUGAAGUUGUUGUUACCCCAUGCUCUAGAAAGAGAGCAGCUCAAGGAACGGCUCAAUAGGAAUUCCUGUAGGAGUCCGUGAUGCAUCAGAAUUAUAGACUGCAGGUUUUAGACCAGAUGCUGCCCAGCUAGGCCUUGCUAGUUCUACCCCUUCCACCCCCAUCGAUGGGCUCUGAAAUGUGAUCUGCCUGCUGGCUGUUCUGUUUUUUAUGGCUUUUUGUCUGAUGUCAUUGCUGGAGACGGCUCGGGCAGCGGUCCUGCCGGCCCGGCUGGGACACGUUUAGCUCGGAGCCCCGCAGGGCUGCACGCCUGGCGUCAGCGAGUGAACACCCUGAGCCCUCGGGAGGGGUGAUGGACCCCCAGCACCUUUGGGUGCUGGUGGGGGUCAGCACCCACAGUGGCGGGGCUCCCUCUGGUGGCUGCUCUGGCCCCACUGACGUGCUCGUUCUACCAUAAAUACCUCCAUAAAUGCACGCCGGUGCUUGCCAAACUGAAGUGGUACCUUGGUUGGGGAGAUAAUCACGCAUCAGUGGAGUGACCUGCUUACACAGCAAGGACACAUCUCCCCCCAGGCCCAAAGGCAGCAGCCGUAAGCGUUUCCUUUGGGGACAGCUAAUCGCUGUCUCUCAAAUCUCGAGAUCACUGAGAGUCUGAGCUCCAUAAAUAAAAGAACAAAGAAAUAAACCCUUGCAAUGCUGAAGAAGUCUAAUGGCUUCAAAAGACAACUGUGAAAAGCCCUGGGCAUAGGACAUCGAAGGACAUAAUUCUCAUUUUAUAUGGAAUUGUAAAGCUACCAAACGAGCUUCUCUUAUCUUAGGAGUAUUGGGAACAAGAAAGCGGUGAUAUGUGGAAAUGCUGCAACAGAGUGAGAUUGCCCUCAAUUCUUUGACUUUAGCUUGAAAAUUGGAUCCAUAGUUUUCUGCUAGGGAAAUCAUAACAUGUCUGGAUUUGUGGCCUGUUUAUCGAAUGCAUCUUCAUUUACAAUGUAAUUGGAACAUCAAUUUAUACGGUGUUGUACCAAUCUUUCCCAUUUCUUUCUUAAUAGGCACAGCUUUUAUAUCAAGUGGAAAAGAUUUGAUAGAGAUCAUCUAUUAUGAUGCAGUUUUUUACCAGUAGAAGUGGAUCUUGUGACACUGCCUUUGGAGUAAUACAGCUUGCUUGUGCAUUGCAUUUGUUGCAUGUUUAUGUGAAAGAUUUUAAUGUUAUGGAGGAAUGUAAAUCUUAAUAUAUUGAAAUAACUGUAUAUGCUAAAAGUAUUUUGAAAACAUGCCCUGCAUCAAACAUCUUCCUCCCUCUCAUAGCAUUACUACAUUCAGAUUUUAGCCUAGAGUCUGCAAAAGCUAAUUUGAGAUCCCAAAAUAGCCAUCAGCAUCGGAUGUGUCUCUCAAAGAUGCUCUAAUUAGCCAGACGUUCCGGGGGUGAUACGGGACUUGCUGAAAUUUGUGAGGGGUAGAGAUUCCUUUGAGUACUGAAGUCUGAGUCACCUAAAUAACCUUCCCUUUUAUACCGGCAUGUAGCCACUGGAGGUGGUAUUCUCCUGGCUGUGAGCUAACAACCGCCAGUGAUCUUUCAUCCCCCAAUUUCCCCAAAGGACUAAUCCACAUCUUAUUAUUUGUAGCAUUUUGGUAAAGGCCAUAACCAAGAUAAAGGCCCCCAUUGUGCUUGGUACUGUACAGUGUGAUGUACAGCAGCAGUCACGUCUCCUCUGUGGAAGUGUUUCCCAACAAUACUGUUCUUUUCAAGAGAAGCUUGGCUCUAGAAACAUCCUCCUGCUGCAGAGCGCUCUGUGUCCCAGCAGUCCCAUCUUCUCUGGCCCUUGCUCUGAGCGGCCACAGCUUCUUCAGCCUCUAGUCCAGCCCUUUGGUAUAAAUACUCUGGCUGCCCUUGCUUGGAGCUGGUACAAACCUGGACUUUACACUUCCCCGGUGAGGUCUCACCAUGCAUAGCAGUUCAUAGCCAGUAUCUUGGACAGCAACAGGAGUGUGAAACUAAGCUUGCAGGAAAACACUCCAACUGGUAUUGCAGAGAUAGCCCCAGCAGCUUUUCCUGGAAAGAGACUGUCAUACCCUGCCUGUUCCUUAACCCUGGUUUCAAGUUGCUGUUCGGGUUAUUAAAUAAAGCAAAUGACUACAGGCUUUGUUUUAUAACUUACCUAUGGUAUUUUUAUGUUUAACUUAAAACACUGUGCUUUCAGUAAGGCGAAGACAUUACCUUGAUAGGGCCCUCUGUAAAAUUCCCUAUUUGGUAAGUUGGGUUUAAGAGCACAGCUGGAUUCCCUGUUCGGCUGUUAAAGCAGAUGAUUCUUUUUGUACAGAAUGAGUUUUUAAAUUUGUAUGAGAGCAUCUGUCACAAACAGAGCCAAGAAAAACAAUUUAAAUGUGCACGUCUUCCCUUCCUCAACCCAUGCCGCUGCUCUCCUAAAGAACACUUGGGCAGAGGGUGAUUCCUGCAGCCUGUGAUAGACCCUCCAAAUGGCCCCAGAGGACGAGAGACCAGCUGUGACCUGUCUGCUGGGAGAUGCAGAGGAGAACAGGCGGUGUUGCAAACACAGCUCUUCUCUCAGCUGCGAGGAACAAGUACAUAUGGUGCUUUUGGGGAGGAAGACAGGGCUUAGGGAAAUUCUUCUUUAAUUGAUAAACCUAUAACAUCUUGGAUGAGAUGUUGGACACAUGCCCCAUUUGUAAGCUUUGAGGGGGAGGAAUUUCUGCAGGCUAGUCAGGGCCCGUGGGAACUCCCAUCUCGAAUGUAGAUGUUACUCCUCUUUUUCUACUCAGGAAGCUCAGUUCCUUUGAGCACAGAACAGAAACCUCUGCUGUUAUUGCUCAGUUGAGCCUUCCAUUGCUACCAUAUGUUUUAAUAGAAAUGUUUGUUUCCAUGCUCAUUUUGCUCCUUUUGCAAAGUGGGAUGAAUCUCUGACAAGCUGAUUUCAGAUCUGAUAAAGGAGCACCGUUAAGAUGCCGUUCGCUUCACUGUGGCUGGGAAGUAGGAACCUGCCAGCUCUUGGUGAGUGUUGGAGAACACCAGAGCCUCCCUCGGCUGCCGCAACCCCUGGAGAGCAGCAACUGUGUGUUGGAGUACUGAAAUAUAAAGUGUUUUCCAAUGAAGCUGUUACUUUUACCACUGGCUUUAGAACCAAAUACGACCAAAGGCUUGUACGCGCUGUUACAGAUGCAAACCUGUUUUUAACCUGACAUCGGUGCCUCCUACCUGUUACCUUUAUAGUUGUUCCUGGAAGACUUUGUUAAAACCGCAGGUGUCUGGAUACUCCUGGUUUUUGAUGGCUCUGCACAAUGUAGGUUUCAAAACCAGUAAGAAAUGAAAGAUUGGCCCUGUGAAAGUUCAUUAAUUUUAGAGCUGGCUUUGCCUCCAGCCCAGGCAGGGGUGGUUCUCCGGAUUGUAUAAUGCUCCAUCUGUACUGAAGCAUCAAACCACCCACAAGUUAGGGAAAUCAAUGAGAAAUCCUGCAAGUGGUUGGUAAAGAUGGUGAAAACUGAUCAAGGUGAAUCACAGCAUUAAAAUAACUUGUAUAGGAAACUGGCAAGCUCUUCUGCGCCUGGUAUUUAGCGAGAAGUGUUCAACAGAUGUUGAAAGUGAUUAGUCAUUCCCGAUAAUAAAGGCCUAACAUUGAAAA
Molecule: RNA transcript, 5571 nt
Organism: Aquila chrysaetos chrysaetos
Lineage: Eukaryota; Metazoa; Chordata; Aves; Accipitriformes; Accipitridae
Gene: KHDRBS1
Gene name: KH RNA binding domain containing, signal transduction associated 1
Exons: 10
Source: RefSeq, a predicted model, not a curated record